Molecule: ribosomal RNA, 424 nt
Filed under: Verrucomicrobiota bacterium
Lineage: Bacteria; Pseudomonadati; Verrucomicrobiota
Description: Verrucomicrobia bacterium partial 16S ribosomal RNA
Rfam family: Bacterial small subunit ribosomal RNA
Source: RNAcentral
UGAGGAAUAUUGGUCAAUGGGCGAGAGCCUGAACCAGCCAAGUAGCGUGCAGGAUGACGGCCCUAUGGGUUGUAAACUGCUUUUAUAUGGGAAUAAAGUGAGGGACGUGUCCCUUAUUGCAUGUACCAUACGAAGAAGGAGCGGCUAAUUCCGUGCCAGCAGCCGCGGUAAUACGGAAGGUCCAGGCGUUAUCCGGAUUUAUUGGGUUUAAAGGGAGCGUAGGCUGUUUGUUAAGCGUGUUGUGAAAUGUAAGAGCUCAACUUUUAGAUUGCAGCGCGAACUGGCAGACUUGAGUGCGCACAACGUAGGCGGAAUUCAUGGUGUAGCGGUGAAAUGCUUAGAUAUCAUGACGAACUCCGAUUGCGAAGGCAGCUUACGGGAGCGCAACUGACGCUAAAGCUCGAAGGUGCGGGUAUCGAACAGG